GAUGAACGCUGGCGGCGUGCCUAAUACAUGCAAGUCGAGCGAACAGACGAGGAGCUUGCUCCUCUGACGUUAGCGGCGGACGGGUGAGUAACACGUGGAUAACCUACCUAUAAGACUGGGAUAACUUCGGGAAACCGGAGCUAAUACCGGAUAAUAUAUUGAACCGCAUGGUUCAAUAGUGAAAGACGGUUUUGCUGUCACUUAUAGAUGGAUCCGCGCCGCAUUAGCUAGUUGGUAAGGUAACGGCUUACCAAGGCAACGAUGCGUAGCCGACCGGAGAGGGGGACCGGCGACAGUGGGACUGGGAGACGGCCCAGACGCCGACGGGCGGCAGCAGUGGGGAAGAUUGCAAAAUGGGCGGAAGCCAGAUGCAGCAACGCCGCGUGCGGGAUGACGGCCGUCGGGUUGUAAACCGCUGUCGCCUGGGACGAAGCGUGAGUGACGGGAAUGGGUAAAGAAGCACCGGCUAACUACGUG
This 477-nucleotide ribosomal RNA is filed under the name uncultured bacterium. RNAcentral's name for it is "partial 16S ribosomal RNA". It matches the Rfam family "Bacterial small subunit ribosomal RNA", at positions 28 to 507 of the family's 1533-position model. The record is from RNAcentral.